RNAcentral lists this ribosomal RNA (253 nucleotides) under uncultured bacterium. Its description in RNAcentral is "partial 16S ribosomal RNA". It matches the Rfam family "Bacterial small subunit ribosomal RNA", at positions 524 to 776 of the family's 1533-position model. The record is from RNAcentral.
UACAGAGGGUGCAAGCGUUGUUCGGAAUCAUUGGGCGUAAAGCGCACGUAGGCGGCUUUGCAAGUCAGGUGUGAAAGCCUGGGGCUCAACCCCAGAAGUGCAUUUGAAACUGCAGAGCUUGAGUCUUGGAGAGGGCAGUGGAAUUCCGAGUGUAGAGGUGAAAUUCGUAGAUAUUCGGAAGAACACCAGUGGCGAAGGCGACUCACUGGACACAUAUUGACGCUGAGGUGCGAAAGCGUGGGGAGCAAACAGG